Molecule: RNase P RNA, 423 nt
Filed under: Algoriphagus aquaeductus
Lineage: Bacteria; Pseudomonadati; Bacteroidota; Cytophagia; Cytophagales; Cyclobacteriaceae
Description: RNase P RNA component class A
Rfam family: Bacterial RNase P class A
About the family: Ribonuclease P (RNase P) is a ubiquitous endoribonuclease, found in archaea, bacteria and eukarya as well as chloroplasts and mitochondria. Its best characterised activity is the generation of mature 5'-ends of tRNAs by cleaving the 5'-leader elements of precursor-tRNAs. Cellular RNase Ps are ribonucleoproteins.
Source: RNAcentral
CGUGCAAGUCGUCCUGUCGCUCUGCCGAUAAAUGUCGGGAGGGAGGAAAGUCCGGGCAACACAGAGCGCCAUACUUCCUAACGGGAAGGCUUCUGACUGGAGACGGUCAGAAGACAGAUAGUGCCACAGAAAACAAACCGCCUCAAGACACAGGGCCUGCCCUGAGCAUGUCGAAGGGUAAGGGUGAAAAGGUGGGGUAAGAGCCCACCGCCCCGACAGUGAUGAAGGGGGCAAGGCAAACCUUAUGGGUUGAAAGAUCAAAUAGGCCUCGGGCAAAGAGCUGCUCGUUCGAUUUCUUCUUUUCGAAGAAGAAUUCCGGGGUGGGUAGAUCGAUAGAGUUCUGAUGUGAAUCAGGAUCGAGAUAAAUGACAGGAAUCCCGUGCAAUCGGGAUACAGAACCCGGCUUACAGACUUGCACUUUUU